CAGUUGGUACUAUAUCAACAGACACUUUAUACACCACGCGGAUAAACACAUUAUCUGUAAUGGGUGUGACAAUCAUGAAUAAAACUUUAGGAAAUCCUGUAUGGUAUGAGGGUAUCAAUAGCACAUUCAAAAAAUUGCUAAAGGAAACAGAAGGAUUAGAAGAGAUUGUGAUCAACAAUCAAGCAACCGAAUCUGGUGCAACAUCUACAUCAGCAAGUGCGAAUGGCAUAUGUUGUUUUAUAUAGCAGGUUAUAUAUUGUUAUAACUUGUUAUAGUUUAUAACUGUUAUUGUUCUGUGUUAAAUAUUUUUUUUUGUUUAUGUGAAUGUUUCUAUUAAAAUAGGGGUAAAUGUAACAAACAAUGCAACUCAAACAUCACCAGCAAAUACAAACAUCGUAGGAUUCAAAGUCGUAAAGAUCCAAUCAAAUCUCGAAAGAGGAAGAAGAAAAAGUUGGAGAUUGCAAUAGAGAAGAAAAGAAAGCAACCGAAGGCUCAAUAGGAGAAGGAGAGAAGAGCAUAAUUGCCUCUUUUCCCUUAGUAUAUACGUUUCUCCAACAUGAGAAGAAAAGAAAUCAACUGAAUCUCUCUCAACAUGA
RNAcentral lists this long non-coding RNA (596 nucleotides) under Linum usitatissimum (flax). RNAcentral describes it as "long non-coding RNA (LUSI_LNC006291)". Lineage: Eukaryota; Viridiplantae; Streptophyta; Magnoliopsida; Malpighiales; Linaceae. The record is from RNAcentral.